CCGAAGGUAGCUCAGCGGUAGAGCGGGAGACUGUAGUGUUAGCGUGGUUUAAACUAUGCUUCUAAUUGAUAUCUCUAGGUCCCUGGUUCAAAUCCGGGUCUUCGGA
Molecule: transfer RNA, 106 nt
Filed under: Coemansia sp. RSA 2703
Lineage: Eukaryota; Fungi; Kickxellomycota; Kickxellomycetes; Kickxellales; Kickxellaceae
Description: tRNA-Tyr
Rfam family: tRNA
About the family: Transfer RNA (tRNA) molecules are approximately 80 nucleotides in length. Their secondary structure includes four short double-helical elements and three loops (D, anti-codon, and T loops).
Source: RNAcentral